AUGACCCCAGCUGCUGUGCACAGAGAGCCUCCCACCUUCCCAAAGCUGGAUUCCUCUAUUUGGCAUCCAGGAGCCUUUUCGCAAGCUUCAGAAAAGACUUGGCACACAGUACAUGUGGAAAAGAGAAGGGGAAGAAAAAAGCAAGAAAAAAGGAAAGAAAAAAAGCAUAUGUCCCUUUGAUUGUUUCUAAGGCAACAGACAAAGUGCAACUACAAAUCAUACUUUUGGACUUGUUGAC
This 238-nucleotide long non-coding RNA is filed under the name Dromaius novaehollandiae (emu). Its description in RNAcentral is "lncRNA (ENSDNVG00000018281.1)". Lineage: Eukaryota; Metazoa; Chordata; Aves; Casuariiformes; Dromaiidae. The record is from RNAcentral.